UACGUAGGGUGCGAGCGUUGUCCGGAAUUAUUGGGCGUAAAGAGCUCGUAGGCGGUUUGUCGCGUCGGGAGUGAAAACUCAGGGCUUAACCCUGAGCCUGCUCCCGAUACGGGCAGACUAGAGGUAUGCAGGGGAGAACGGAAUUCCUGGUGUAGCGGUGAAAUGCGCAGAUAUCAGGAGGAACACCGGUGGCGAAGGCGGUUCUCUGGGCAUUACCUGACGCUGAGGAGCGAAAGUGUGGGGAGCGAACAGG
This 253-nucleotide ribosomal RNA is filed under the name uncultured bacterium. RNAcentral's name for it is "partial 16S ribosomal RNA". It matches the Rfam family "Bacterial small subunit ribosomal RNA", at positions 524 to 776 of the family's 1533-position model. The record is from RNAcentral.